GUGCAGCAGGCGAGAAUACUUUACAAUGUGCGAAAGCACGAUAAGGGAACUCUGAGUGCCUCCUAAGGAGGCUGUUCAGGUGUCUAAAAAGCACCUGGAGUAAGGGCUGGGUAAGACCGGUGCCAGCCGCCGCGGUAACACCGGCAGCCCAGGUGGUAGCCACUUUUAUUGGGUCUAAAGCGUCCGUAGCCGGUUGAGUAAGUUCCUUGGGAAAUUUGGCUGCUCAACAGUCAAGCUUCCAGGGAAUACUGCUCGACUUGGGACUGGGAGAGGUCAGAGGUACUCCAGGGGUAGGGUGAAAAUCCAUUAAUCCCUGGGGGACCACCGGUAGCGAAGGCGUCUGACCAGACCAGGUCCGACGGUGAGGGACGAAGGCUAGGGUCGCGAAACCGGAUUAGAUACCCCUGUAGU
RNAcentral lists this ribosomal RNA (411 nucleotides) under uncultured microorganism. RNAcentral's name for it is "bacterial SSU rRNA". It matches the Rfam family "Archaeal small subunit ribosomal RNA", at positions 330 to 745 of the family's 1478-position model. The record is from RNAcentral.